Molecule: ribosomal RNA, 525 nt
Filed under: uncultured bacterium
Lineage: Bacteria
Description: bacterial SSU rRNA
Rfam family: Bacterial small subunit ribosomal RNA
Source: RNAcentral
AAUAGAUACCCGGUAGUCCACGCCGUAAACGAUGUCGACUUGGAGGUUGUUCCCUUGAGGAGUGGCUUCCGGAGCUAACGCGUUAAGUCGACCGCCUGGGGAGUACGGCCGCAAGGUUAAAACUCAAAUGAAUUGACGGGGGCCCGCACAAGCGGUGGAGCAUGUGGUUUAAUUCGAUGCAACGCGAAGAACCUUACCUACUCUUGACAUCCAGAGAACUUAGCAGAGAUGCUUUGGUGCCUUCGGGAACUCUGAGACAGGUGCUGCAUGGCUGUCGUCAGCUCGUGUUGUGAAUGUUGGGUUAAGUCCCGCAACGAGCGCAACCCUUAUCCUUUGUUGCCAGCGGUUCGGCCGGGAACUCAAAGGAGACUGCCAGUGAUAAACUGGAGGAAGGUGGGGAUGACGUCAAGUCAUCAUGGCCCUUACGAGUAGGGCUACACACGUGCUACAAUGGCGUAUACAAAGAGAAGCGACCUCGCGAGAGCAAGCGGACCUCAUAAAGUACGUCGUAGUCCGGAUUGGAGU